UCCGUAGGUGAACCUUGCGGAGGGAUCAUUACAGAGUUGCAAAACUCCCCAAACCAUCGUGAACGCUACCCAAACCGUUGCUUCGGCGGGCGGCGCCCUCGCGCGCCCCCCUGGGCCCGCACCGCGGGCGCCCGCCGGAGGUACACCAAACUCUAGAUAUGUUAUGGCCACUCUGAGUCUUCUAUACUGGAUCAGUCAAAACUUUCAACAACGGAUCUCUUGGUUCUGGCAUCGAUGAAGAACGCAGCGAAAUGCGAUAAGUAAUGUGAAUUGCAGAAUUCAGUGAAUCAUCGAAUCUUUGAACGCACAUUGCGCCCGCCAGUAUCCUGGCGGGCAUGCCUGUUCGAGCGUCAUUUCAACCCAUCAAGCCCACGGCUUGUGUUGGGGACCUGCGGCUGCCCGCAGGCCCUGAAAACCAGUGGCGGGCUCGCUAGUCACACCGAGCGUAGUAGCAUACGACCUCGCUCAGGGCGUGCUGCGGGUUCCAGCCGUAAAACGACCUUCGCAACCCCAAGGUUGACCUCGGAUCAGGUAGGAGGACCCGCUGAACUUAAGCAUAUCAAUAAGCGGAGGA
RNAcentral lists this ribosomal RNA (574 nucleotides) under Myceliophthora sp. FLN7a. RNAcentral describes it as "eukaryotic LSU rRNA". The stretch from base 200 to 353 matches the Rfam family "5.8S ribosomal RNA". The record is from RNAcentral. Lineage: Eukaryota; Fungi; Ascomycota; Sordariomycetes; Sordariales; Chaetomiaceae.